Molecule: ribosomal RNA, 969 nt
Filed under: uncultured bacterium
Lineage: Bacteria
Description: bacterial SSU rRNA
Rfam family: Bacterial small subunit ribosomal RNA
Source: RNAcentral
AAGCGUUAUCCGGAAUUAUUGGGCGUAAAGCGUCCGCAGGCGGUCUGUCAAGUCUGCUGUUAAAGCGUGGAGCUUAACUCCAUUUCGGCAGUGGAAACUGACAGACUAGAGUGUGGUAGGGGCAGAGGGAAUUCCCGGUGUAGCGGUGAAAUGCGUAGAUAUCGGGAAGAACACCAGUGGCGAAGGCGCUCUGCUGGGCCAUAACUGACGCUCAUGGACGAAAGCCAGGGGAGCGAAAGGGAUUAGAUACCCCUGUAGUCCUGGCCGUAAACGAUGAACACUAGGUGUCGGGGGAAUCGACCCCCUCGGUGUCGUAGCCAACGCGUUAAGUGUUCCGCCUGGGGAGUACGCACGCAAGUGUGAAACUCAAAGGAAUUGACGGGGGCCCGCACAAGCGGUGGAGUAUGUGGUUUAAUUCGAUGCAACGCGAAGAACCUUACCAGGGUUUGACAUCCUGCGAAUCUCUUGGAAACGAGAGAGUGCCUUCGGGAGCGCAGUGACAGGUGGUGCAUGGCUGUCGUCAGCUCGUGUCGUGAGAUGUUGGGUUAAGUCCCGCAACGAGCGCAACCCACGUCGUUAGUUGCCAGCAUUUAGUUGGGCACUCUAGCGAGACCGCCGGUGAUAAACCGGAGGAAGGUGUGGAUGACGUCAAGUCAUCAUGCCCCUUACAUCCUGGGCUACACACGUACUACAAUGCUACGGACAAAGGGCAGCAAACUCGCGAGAGCUAGCAAAUCCCAUAAACCGUGGCUCAGUUCAGAUCGUAGGCUGCAACUCGCCUACGUGAAGGAGGAAUCGCUAGUAAUCGCAGGUCAGCAUACUGCGGUGAAUACGUUCCCGGGCCUUGUACACACCGCCCGUCACACCAUGGAAGUUGGCCACGCCCGAAGCCGUUACUCCAACCCUUGUGGAGGAGGACGUCGAAGGUGGGGCUGAUGACUGGGGUGAAGUCGUAACAAGGUAGCCGUA